GGGCUCACCAAGGCGACGAUGUCUAGGGGUUCUGAGAGGAAGGUCCCCCACACUGGUACUGAGACACGGACCAGACUCCUACGGGAGGCAGCAGUGAGGAAUAUUGGUCAAUGGGCGCAAGCCUGAACCAGCCAUGUCGCGUGCAGGAAGACUGCCCUACGGGUUGUAAACUGCUUUUGUAUGGGAAGAAACGUUGGUACGUGUACCAAUUUGCCGGUACCAUACGAAUAAGGAUCGGCUAACUCCGUGCCAGCAGCCGCGGUAAUACGGAGGAUCCAAGCGUUAUCCGGAUUUAUUGGGUUUAAAGGGUGCGUAGGCGGUAGAAUAAGUCAGUGGUGAAAUCCUGCAGCUUAACUGUAGAACUGCCAUUGAUACUGUUUUACUUGAGUGUAAUUGAGGUAGGCGGAAUGUGUUGUGUAGCGGUGAAAUGCAUAGAUAUAACACAGAACACCGAUUGCGAAGGCAGCUUACUAAGUUAUAACUGACGCUGAUGCACGAAAGCGUGGGUAGCGAACAGGAUUAGAUACCCUGGUAGUCCACGCCGUAAACGAUGAUUACUCGCUGUAGGCAAUACACCGUCUGUGGCUGAGCGAAAGCAUUAAGUAAUCUACCUGGGGAGUACGUUGGCAACAAUGAAACUCAAAGGAAUUGACGGGGGCCCGCACAAGCGGAGGAACAUGUGGUUUAAUUCGAUGAUACGCGAGGAACCUUACCUGGACUUAAAUGUAGAUUGACGUAUCCAGAGAUGGAUAUUUCUUCGGACAAUUUACAAGGUGCUGCAUGGUUGUCGUCAGCUCGUGCCGUGAGGUGUCGGGUUAAGUCCCAUAACGAGCGCAACCCCUGUUGUUAGUUACCAGCACAUCAUGGUGGGGACUCUAACAAGACUGCCGGUGUAAACCGCGAGGAAGGUGGGGAUGACGUCAAAUCAGCACGGCCCUUACGUCCAGGGCUACACACGUGUUACAAUGGCCGGUACAGAGGGCAGCUACUUGGUGACAAGAUGCGAAUCUCAAAAACCGGUCUCAGUUCGGAUCGAAGUCUGCAACCCGACUUCGUGAAGCUGGAUUCGCUAGUAAUCGCAUAUCAGCCAUGAUGCGGUGAAUACGUUCCCGGGCCUUGUACACACCGCCCGUCAAACCAUGGAAGUCGAGGGUACCUGAAGUCUGUUACCGUAAGGAGCGGCCUAGGGUAAAACUGAUAACUAGGGUUAAGUCGUAACAAGGUA
This 1225-nucleotide ribosomal RNA is filed under the name metagenome. RNAcentral's name for it is "bacterial SSU rRNA". It matches the Rfam family "Bacterial small subunit ribosomal RNA", at positions 261 to 1498 of the family's 1533-position model. The record is from RNAcentral.